RNAcentral lists this ribosomal RNA (521 nucleotides) under uncultured bacterium. RNAcentral's name for it is "bacterial SSU rRNA". It matches the Rfam family "Bacterial small subunit ribosomal RNA", at positions 988 to 1509 of the family's 1533-position model. The record is from RNAcentral.
CCAGAGAACUUUCCAGAGAUGGAUUGGUGCCUUCGGGAACUCUGAGACAGGUGCUGCAUGGCUGUCGUCAGCUCGUGUUGUGAAAUGUUGGGUUAAGUCCCGCAACGAGCGCAACCCUUAUCCUUUGUUGCCAGCGGUUAGGCCGGGAACUCAAAGGAGACUGCCAGUGAUAAACUGGAGGAAGGUGGGGAUGACGUCAAGUCAUCAUGGCCCUUACGAGUAGGGCUACACACGUGCUACAAUGGCGCAUACGAAGAGAAGCGACCUCGCGAGAGCAAGCGGACCUCAUAAAGUGCGUCGUAGUCCGGAUUGGAGUCUGCAACUCGACUCCAUGAAGUCGGAAUCGCUAGUAAUCGUGGAUCAGAAUGCCACGGUGAAUACGUUCCCGGGCCUUGUACACACCGCCCGUCACACCAUGGGAGUGGGUUGCAAAAGAAGUAGGUAGCUUAACCUUCGGGAGGGCGCUUACCACUUUGUGAUUCAUGACUGGGGUGAAGUCGUAACAAGGUAAGCGUAGUGCU